This 497-nucleotide ribosomal RNA is filed under the name uncultured bacterium. RNAcentral's name for it is "partial 16S ribosomal RNA". It matches the Rfam family "Bacterial small subunit ribosomal RNA", at positions 28 to 507 of the family's 1533-position model. The record is from RNAcentral.
GAUGAACGCUGGCGGCGUGCCUAAUACAUGCAAGUCGAGCGAACGGACGAGAAGCUUGCUUCUCUGAUGUUAGCGGCGGACGGGUGAGUAACACGUGGAUAACCUACCUAUAAGACUGGGAUAACUUCGGGAAACCGGAGCUAAUACCGGAUAAUAUUUUGAACCGCAUGGUUCAAAAGUGAAAGACGGUCUUGCUGUCACUUAUAGAUGGAUCCGCGCUGCAUUAGCUAGUUGGUAAGGUAACGGCUUACCAAGGCAACGAUGCAUAGCCGACCUGAGAGGGUGAUCGGCCACACUGGAACUGAGACACGGUCCAGACUCCGACGGGAGGCAGCAGUAGGGAAUCUUACGCAAUGGGCGAAAGCCUGACGGAGCAACGCCGCGUGAGUGAUGAAGGUCUUCGGAUCGUAAAACUCUGUUAUUAGGGAAGAACAUAUGUGUAAGUAACUGUGCACAUCUUGACGGUACCUAAUCAGAAAGCCACGGCUAACUACGUG